GCGGUCAUGGUUUAGUGGCAGAACACGACCUUGCCAAGGUUGAGACGAGAGUUCGAUUCUCUCUGGCCGCACCA
Molecule: transfer RNA, 74 nt
Filed under: Candidatus Parcubacteria bacterium
Lineage: Bacteria; Candidatus Parcubacteria
Description: tRNA-Gly
Rfam family: tRNA
About the family: Transfer RNA (tRNA) molecules are approximately 80 nucleotides in length. Their secondary structure includes four short double-helical elements and three loops (D, anti-codon, and T loops).
Source: RNAcentral